This 356-nucleotide RNase P RNA is filed under the name Clostridia bacterium. RNAcentral describes it as "RNase P RNA component class A". It matches the Rfam family "Bacterial RNase P class A". From Rfam's summary of the family: Ribonuclease P (RNase P) is a ubiquitous endoribonuclease, found in archaea, bacteria and eukarya as well as chloroplasts and mitochondria. Its best characterised activity is the generation of mature 5'-ends of tRNAs by cleaving the 5'-leader elements of precursor-tRNAs. The record is from RNAcentral. Lineage: Bacteria; Bacillati; Bacillota; Clostridia.
UGAGUGCGCCGGGCAGCCGCAGGUACAUACCUAAAGGUAGUACGCGAGGAAAGUCCGAGCUCCACAGGGCAGGAUAACGGCUAACCGCCGCCGGGGGCGACCCUAGGGAAAGUGCAACAGAGAUAUACCGCCGAUACUUAAUUUAUCGGUAAGGGUGGAAAGGCGAGGUAAGAGCUCACCGGUCAUAUUGGAAACUUUAUGACCCUGUAAACCCUAUCCGGAGCAACACCGUAUAAUGGACUCUUUUUACAUCGGCCCGAUGUGUCCAAACAGGUGGCACUGAGCUAUUGUGGCAACACUUAGCCAAGAUAGAUGGCUGUCUUUAACAGAACUCGGCUUAUAGGCUCACUCACAAC